AGAUAAUUUUCAUGAGAGUAUUGUUUCUUUUGAAGGUUGCUCCCAAAUGGACAGGAAAAUAGCUGAUAGCUGAAUCCAACAUUCUCCAAGCAUGCUCCAGAAAUUGAGCCCAUUCCGUACCCCGGUGAGCUUACAUCUGAUCUGGUACGACUAGCUUUCCCUUCAUUACAGCCUUGUACUGACCCAGGUGUGAUUCUCCUUGCGGUUUGGCGCGCUGUCUCGUAGCCAUGGCUUAGGCGGUGUCCAAGGACGGAUACGAAUGUUCAGAGCCAGCGUCACGAUAAAUGGUUGUUGUGAAGGGUUGAUUCGGAGAGAAGGCCGUUGUAGUUCGAGCCAGCAGCCUUGAAUUCGCUCCGAGUAAUCUUGACAACCGCAGAAACGCCAGAAAUGCGCUCGCGGCAGCACGUCUGUGAAAGCUACUAGUCACUAUGGGCUUACUGACCUUCUCUAUCAAGGCGAUUCAAAUAAGUGAAUAUGAUAUGGCUGUCUAUCCAUGAUGCUCAAGCGGAAGAGACAUAGAUGCAGGAUCUCUGGCCGUUGUGACGGCCAGGAAUUAAUGAUAUGCUACCGUAGCCUUGCACUAUGGGUUGAAUCUGCCAUAAGUCAUAGUAGCGACGUUGUAGGGUCAGGCCACGGGCCCAGCUGCGGGAGGACCCAGUAAAGCUCAUAUUCAUCACCAUUUGUAGUUCAAGUGCAAAUACAUCAUCAGCAGUCUCGAGGCCACAGAAGAAGUCCCAGGUAAAGCACAUUACAAGAGAGAGUCUCACAAACUGGGUUCAAAUACAGAGAAAGAAAUUUAAUGUUCUCCCUGCAUAGGGCGCCAACAACAGUCAUGCAGCGUAGGUUGAGUGACACAGCCAUGGAGGAAAGUGGACUAACUACUUCUUUUCCCUUAACUUACGGGUCGUGCCCUUGGUGUAACUAACUCAAGGUUAGUUAACUAGUGACUUAUCAGGUUGAUGAUUGCCUCGUUGUUGACCAGGUUUGAAGCAAGCUUUCCCCUUGCCAUAUCGCUGAUCCAGAGAGAGCAUGAAUGAUAAUGUGCUGUUCGACUCAAUAUUUCGCUCGCUAGUGGACUGCUGUGGCUGUGUCAUGGCUCCACAGUCAUUCUUCACACAAAGACUGGC
This 1127-nucleotide small RNA is filed under the name Histoplasma capsulatum. RNAcentral describes it as "hypothetical RNA". Lineage: Eukaryota; Fungi; Ascomycota; Eurotiomycetes; Onygenales; Ajellomycetaceae. RNAcentral also lists the same sequence under 1 other name. The record is from RNAcentral.